ACUUUCAACAAUGGAUCUCUUGGCUCUCGCAUCGAUGAAGAACGCAGCGAAAUGCGAUAAGUAAUAUGAAUUGCAGAAUUCCGUGAAUCAUCAAAUCUUUGAACGCAAAUUGCACUUCUUGGUACUCCGAGGAGUACACAUGCUUGAGGGUCAGU
This 155-nucleotide ribosomal RNA is filed under the name Gigaspora margarita. Its description in RNAcentral is "5.8S ribosomal RNA". It matches the Rfam family "5.8S ribosomal RNA". Rfam says of the family: 5.8S ribosomal RNA (5.8S rRNA) is a component of the large subunit of the eukaryotic ribosome. It is transcribed by RNA polymerase I as part of the 45S precursor that also contains 18S and 28S rRNA. The record is from RNAcentral. Lineage: Eukaryota; Fungi; Glomeromycota; Glomeromycetes; Diversisporales; Gigasporaceae.